UACGAACUGUGCAAACGUUAUUCGGAAUCACUGGGCUUACAGGGUGCGUAGGCGGCCAGACAAGUAGGGUGUGAAAGCCCCCGGCUUAACCGGGGAGUGGCGCCCUAAACUGUAUGGCUGGAGUGAGAUAGGGGUGUGCGGAACUUCCGGUGGAGCGGUGAAAUGUGUUGAUAGCGGAAGGAACGCCGGUGGCGAAAGCGGCACACUGGAUCUCAACUGACGCUGAGGCACGAAAGCCAGGGGAGCGAACGGG
Molecule: ribosomal RNA, 253 nt
Filed under: uncultured bacterium
Lineage: Bacteria
Description: partial 16S ribosomal RNA
Rfam family: Bacterial small subunit ribosomal RNA
Source: RNAcentral